GAUGAACGCUGGCGGCGUGCCUAACACAUGCAAGUCGAACGGAAAGGCCCUGCUUUUGUGGGGUGCUCGAGUGGCGAACGGGUGUGUAACACGUGAGUAACCUGCCCUUGACUUUGGGAUAACUUCAGGAAACUGGGGCUAAUACCGGAUAGGAGCUCCUGCAGCAUGGUGGGGGUUGGAAAGUUUCGGCGGUGGGGGAUGGACUCGCGGCUUACCGGCUUGUUGGUGGGGUAGUGGCUUACCAAGGCUUUGACGGAUAGCCGGCCUGGGAGGGUGACCGGCGACAUGAGGACUGAGAUAGGGCCCAGACUGCUACGGGAGGCAGCAGGGGGGAAUAUUACACAAUGGGCGCGAGCCUGAUGCAGCGACGCCGGGUGCGGGAUGACGGCCUUCGGGUUGUGAACCGCUUUCGCCUGUGACGAAGCGUGAGUGACGGUAAUGGGUAAAGAAGCACCGGCUAACUACGUG
RNAcentral lists this ribosomal RNA (468 nucleotides) under uncultured bacterium. RNAcentral describes it as "partial 16S ribosomal RNA". It matches the Rfam family "Bacterial small subunit ribosomal RNA", at positions 28 to 507 of the family's 1533-position model. The record is from RNAcentral.